Molecule: ribosomal RNA, 301 nt
Filed under: uncultured bacterium
Lineage: Bacteria
Description: partial 16S ribosomal RNA
Rfam family: Bacterial small subunit ribosomal RNA
Source: RNAcentral
CAGUCGCCGCGGGAAUACGGAGGGGGCUAGCGUUGUUCGGAAUUACUGGGCGUAAAGCGCACGUAGGCGGACCGGAAAGUCAGAGGUGAAAUCCCAGGGCUCAACCUUGGAACUGCCUUUGAAACUCCUGGUCUUGAGGUCGAGAGAGGUGAGUGGAAUUCCGAGUGUAGAGGUGAAAUUCGUAGAUAUUCGGAGGAACACCAGUGGCGAAGGCGGCUCACUGGCUCGAUACUGACGCUGAGGUGCGAAAGCGUGGGGAGCAAACAGGAUUAGAUACCCGUGUAGUCCCUGUCUCUUAUAC